Molecule: long non-coding RNA, 465 nt
Organism: Scleropages formosus (Asian bonytongue)
Lineage: Eukaryota; Metazoa; Chordata; Actinopteri; Osteoglossiformes; Osteoglossidae
Exons: 4
Source: RefSeq, a predicted model, not a curated record
AGGUGUUAUCCAGUUUAUCUCCAAUUCCUCUUCAAGCAGUUCUUCUGUAUGUUCUUUGAGUUCCAUUCAGUGUUUUCAAGCCACUUUCUCAGUGGUACACUUACUUCUGACAAAUUGGGAAUGAACUCGGCUAGAUACUGCAGCAUACCCAGACAUCUCUGUAGAGCCUGUUUGUCUUCUGGUGGCAGUAGCUGCAUUACAGCUCUCACCUUCUCAUCUGCUUUGAGUCCAUCAGCUGAGUUUUCUUGGUCUGCGAUCAUGUUCUUGUAUGGUUUCUCCCCGUACUAAGAAAUCUAUGUUGAUUACACCAUCCAGAUCUUCAAUCUGUGCUAUCACUCUUUGAAAUACCUCUGAUGCCAAUGAUAUUCCAAAAGGCAAUUGGAACUUCUCGUGGUGCAUAAACAACUGGUUUGACUGUUGGAUCUACUUGUAUAUGAUGGUGUCCUGGCAUACAUCCUAAACCAC